Molecule: ribosomal RNA, 425 nt
Filed under: uncultured Treponema sp.
Lineage: Bacteria; Pseudomonadati; Spirochaetota; Spirochaetia; Treponematales; Treponemataceae
Description: bacterial SSU rRNA
Rfam family: Bacterial small subunit ribosomal RNA
Source: RNAcentral
AGAAUAUUCCGCAAUGGAGGAAACUCUGACGGAGCGACGCCGCGUGGACGAUGAAGGCCGGAAGGUUGUAAAGUCCUUUUAGAUAUGAGGAAUAAGUAAGGUGAGAGAAACGCCUUAUGGUGACUGUAGUAUCAGAAUAAGGGGCGGCUAAUUACGUGCCAGCAGCCGCGGUAACACGUAAGCCCCGAGCGUUGUUCGGAAUUAUUGGGCGUAAAGGGCAUGUAGGCGGCUUUGCAAGUCUGGUGUGAAAGGCGGGGGCUUAACCCCCGGACUGCGCUGGAAACUGCAUGGCUUGAGUCACUGAGGGGCAACCGGAAUUCCUGGUGUAGGGGUGAAAUCUGUAGAUAUCAGGAAGAACACCGAUGGCGAAGGCAGGUUGCCAGCGGAUGACUGACGCUGAGGUGCGAAGGUGCGGGGAGCAAACA